UACGAAGGGGGCUAGCGUUGCUCGGAAUUACUGGGCGUAAAGCGCACGUAGGCGGUCUUUUAAGUCGGGGGUGAAAGCCUGGAGCUCAACUCCAGAAUUGCCUUUAAGACUGCAUCGCUUGAAUCCAGGAGAGGUGAGUGGAAUUCCGAGUGUAGAGGUGAAAUUCGUAGAUAUUCGGAAGAACACCAGUGGCGAAGGCGGCUCACUGGACUGGUAUUGACGCUGAGGUGCGAAAGCGUGGGGAGCAACAGGAU
Molecule: ribosomal RNA, 254 nt
Filed under: uncultured bacterium
Lineage: Bacteria
Description: partial 16S ribosomal RNA
Rfam family: Bacterial small subunit ribosomal RNA
Source: RNAcentral